GCCCAGGCUGGAGUGCAGUGGCACGAUCUUGGCUCACUGCAAUCUCUGCUUCCCAGUAGAGACGGGGUUUCACCGUGUGAGCCAGGAUGAUCUCCCUCUCCUGACCUCUUGAUCCAUCUGCCUUGGCCUCCCCGUCAUAACUUCUUAUGAGCAGAGACAAUCCAACUUGAAUACAUGAAGAAUAACAUCUUUAGCACCCCAGAGGGUUGAAUAGUAUCCCAUUGUCUGGAUAUAACACAGCUUAUUGAUCCACUCACCUACUGAAGGACAUUUAAUUGCUUCCGAGUGUUGGCAGUUAUGAGUAAAGAUGCUACAGUCAUGUCUGAAGGCUUCUUUUGUGGACAUAAGUUUUCAACUCCUUCGGAUGUCCUUCAUCAGUUUGAUGAAGAUCCCCUGUAUUAAGACAACUUUUUGAAGUCAGGUAAAGUGAUGCUUCCAGCUUUAUUCUUUUUGAUUAAGUUUGCCUUGGCUGUUUGGGC
Molecule: long non-coding RNA, 479 nt
Organism: Piliocolobus tephrosceles (Ugandan red Colobus)
Lineage: Eukaryota; Metazoa; Chordata; Mammalia; Primates; Cercopithecidae
Exons: 4
Source: RefSeq, a predicted model, not a curated record